UACAGAGGGUGCUAGCGUUGUUCGGAAUCAUUGGGCGUAAAGGGCGUGUAGGCGGUUUGUUAAGUCAUGUGUGAAAUCCCUCGGCUCAACCGGGGAACGACGCAUGAAACUGGCAAGCUAGAGUACCAAAGAGGGGGGUGGAAUUCCCGGUGUAGCGGUGAAAUUCGUAGAUAUCAGGAGGAACACCAGUGGCGAAGGCGGCUUUCUGGACGGUAACUGACGCUGAGGCGCGAAAGCGUGGGGAGCAAACAGG
This 253-nucleotide ribosomal RNA is filed under the name uncultured bacterium. Its description in RNAcentral is "partial 16S ribosomal RNA". It matches the Rfam family "Bacterial small subunit ribosomal RNA", at positions 524 to 776 of the family's 1533-position model. The record is from RNAcentral.